GUUGGUGCUGAUUAGAACGAGGGUCCACCCGUUCCCAUUCCGAACACGGUAGUUAAGCUCGUUUCUGCCUAAGAUACUUGGCUGGCGACGGCCUGGGAAAAUCGGUAGUGCCAACA
Molecule: ribosomal RNA, 116 nt
Filed under: Oscillibacter sp.
Lineage: Bacteria; Bacillati; Bacillota; Clostridia; Eubacteriales; Oscillospiraceae
Source: RNAcentral